GAAUUUUUCUCAAUGGGGGAAACCCUGAAGGAGCGACGCCGCGUGGAGGAUGAAGGUCUUCGGAUUGUAAACUCCUGUCAUUGGUGAACAAGACUGCCGGUUAACUGCCGGUGGGUUCGAUAGUAGCCGAAGAGGAAGGGACGGCUAACUCUGUGCCAGCAGCCGCGGUAAUACAGAGGUCCCGAGCGUUGUUCGGAUUCAUUGGGCGUAAAGGGUGCGUAGGCGGCGAGGCAAGUCUGGUGUGAAAUCCCGGGGCUCAACUCCGGAACUGCACUGGAUACUGCUUUGCUAGAGCACUGGAGAGGGAACUGGAAUUUACGGUGUAGCAGUGAAAUGCGUAGAUAUCGUAAGGAAGACCAGCGGCGAAGGCGAGUUCCUGGACAGUUGCUGACGCUGAGGCACGAAGGCCAGGGGAGCAAAC
This 421-nucleotide ribosomal RNA is filed under the name uncultured bacterium. RNAcentral's name for it is "bacterial SSU rRNA". It matches the Rfam family "Bacterial small subunit ribosomal RNA", at positions 359 to 773 of the family's 1533-position model. The record is from RNAcentral.